RNAcentral lists this ribosomal RNA (490 nucleotides) under uncultured bacterium. RNAcentral describes it as "bacterial SSU rRNA". It matches the Rfam family "Bacterial small subunit ribosomal RNA", at positions 767 to 1260 of the family's 1533-position model. The record is from RNAcentral.
AGCUAAUAGAUACCCUGGUAGUCCCAGCAGUAAACGGUGCGCGUCUGGUGUGAGCAGAUUCGACUCUGUUCGCGCCGGAGCUAACGCGUUAAACGCGCCGCCUGGGAAGUACGAUCGCAAGAUUAAAACUCAAAGAAAUUGACGGGGGCCCGCACAAGCGGUGGAGUAUGUGGCUUAAUUCGAUGCAACGCGAAGAACCUUACCUGGGUUUGACAUGCAUCUCUAAGGAGGUGAAAGCUUCCGAGGGUAGCAAUACCCGAUUUGCACAGGUGCUGCAUGGCUGUCGUCAGCUCGUGUCGUGAGAUGUUGGGUUAAGUCCCGCAACGAGCGCAACCCUUGUAUGCUGUUGCUAUGCUUACGCAUAGCUCUCUGCGUAGACUGCCCCGUGAAACGGGGAGGAAGGUGGGGAUGACGUCAAGUCAGCAUGGCCCUUACACCCAGGGCUGCACACGUACUACAAUGCUCAGUACAAUUAGAACCUGCCCCGCGA